AAUUUGAAAAAUUAAGUAAAUGACGAAAUUAUACUUUUUUUUUCUUUAAGUGGAAAGUCGAAUUUUUUGAUUGGUGUUAGUUGCGCAAUGCUUCAAAAGCAUGUCUAGGAUAUGAUUGGACUGCUGUAUAUUUUAGGGAUUUAGUGCUUUCGGAAGACCAACGCAAAGCUGUCACAUGGCAGCUGUCACCAAAAUUUCAAUGUCAAGCUGACGAACAAUUUAUUUCUAAAGUUAACAAGACCGGAAUAAAUUAACAUAAUAGAUUUAAAAUAAACUAGAAAUAUGGUUAGGGGACUGCUCAGUUUUAUUGUGGGACUUUAUGCAGGCGUUUACCUUAGCCAGAACUAUGAUAUUCCACGAGUGGACGACCCUCAGGCUUUAUUUGAAAAGAUCAAAGAUUUUGCUGAUAAACAUAGGAAGCAAUAGGUUGCAAACUUUAGUAGCUGUGUGAUUUAUUUAAAUAAAAUUAUGCUAAUACAUUA
Tribolium madens (black flour beetle) is the source of this 482-nucleotide long non-coding RNA. RefSeq lists it as uncharacterized. Lineage: Eukaryota; Metazoa; Arthropoda; Insecta; Coleoptera; Tenebrionidae. The record is from RefSeq and is a predicted model, not a curated record. The transcript is spliced from 3 exons.